GUGCAGCAGGCGAGAAAACUUCACACUGUGCGAAAGCACGAUGAGGGAAUCCCAAGUGCUUGCACGUAAGUGUAAGCUGUUUCUCUGUCUAAAACGCAGAGAGAGUAAGGGCUGGGUAAGACGGGUGCCAGCCGCCGCGGUAAUACCUGCAGCUCAAGUGGUGACCGUUAUUAUUGGGCCUAAAACGUCCGUAGCCGGUUUAAUAAAUGCCUGGGUAAAUUGUGUAGCUUAACUAUACGAAUUCCGGGUAGACUGUUAAACUUGAGACCGGGAGAAGUUAGAGGUACUCCUGGGGUAGAGGUGAAAUUCUGUAAUCCUAGGGGACCACCAGUGGCGAAGGCGUCUAACUAGAACGGGUCUGACGGUGAGGGACGAAGCCCUGGGGCGCAAACGGGAUUAGAUACCCGCGUAGU
RNAcentral lists this ribosomal RNA (413 nucleotides) under uncultured microorganism. RNAcentral describes it as "bacterial SSU rRNA". It matches the Rfam family "Archaeal small subunit ribosomal RNA", at positions 330 to 745 of the family's 1478-position model. The record is from RNAcentral.